This 429-nucleotide ribosomal RNA is filed under the name Chloroflexota bacterium. RNAcentral's name for it is "Chloroflexi bacterium partial 16S ribosomal RNA". It matches the Rfam family "Bacterial small subunit ribosomal RNA", at positions 355 to 776 of the family's 1533-position model. The record is from RNAcentral. Lineage: Bacteria; Bacillati; Chloroflexota.
UGGGGAUUAUUGCACAAUGGGAGCAAGACUGAUGAAGCCAUGACGCGUGUGUGAGGAAGGCCGUCGGGUUGUAAAGCACUUUCAGCGGGGAGGAAGGCGUGAAGGUUAAUAACUUUGGCGAUGGACGUUACCCGCAGAAGAAGCACCGGCUAACUCCGUGCCAGCAGUCGCGGUAAAACGGAGGGUGCAAGCGAUAAGCGGAAUGACGGGGCGUAACGCGCACGCACGCGGUCUGUCAAGUCAGUUGUGCGAUCCCCGCGCUCACCCAGGUAACUGCGUUCAAUACUGGCAUGCUAGCGUCUUGUAGAUGGUGGUAGAAUUCCUGCUGUAGCGGUUAACUUCGUAGAGAUCUGGCAGAAUACCUGUGGCGAAGGCAGCCCCCUGGACAAAGCCUGACGCUCAGGUGCGAAAGCGGGGGGAGCAAACAAG